UGCACAUUUUUGACAAAAAUGUGUGCAUAUUCACACCGAACACCUUCACAGAUUGAAAGCAUAUAACAUCCUCAUACCCAUUCCACACUUAAACGUUUUCAUCAUUCUCUGCCAAAGAAAUUUUCAAGUAUCAGUUAAUUCUUGCUUCAUUCAACACCAACGAGCAGUCCAUAAACACCAAGCAUCAUUCAAGGUAUUUCAUGCCAUCUCAGUUCACUAUCUUCAUAUAUGCAUUCCACUUCCCUCACUUCAUGUUUUAGAAAUUCAGAAAUAUAGGAUGAAGUUUAUUACAGAGAAACAUAGCAAAACACAUAUGCGUACAUGAUUAGCAUUCAACAGAAAUAGUUUAAUUCAUACAUUGAUACCUUUAUACUGCCUUUGUACUUAGAACCAAGUCAUGAGAAUUUCC
RNAcentral lists this long non-coding RNA (409 nucleotides) under Salvia miltiorrhiza (redroot sage). Its description in RNAcentral is "long non-coding RNA (SMIL_LNC011993)". The record is from RNAcentral. Lineage: Eukaryota; Viridiplantae; Streptophyta; Magnoliopsida; Lamiales; Lamiaceae.